GAAGAAGAAGAAGAAGAAGAAGAAGAAGAAGAAGAAGAAGAAGAAGAAGAAGAAGAAGAAGAAGAAGAAGAAGAAGAAGAAGAAGAAAGAAAUAGAAGGCAUAGAAGUAAAAAAGAAAAGAGGGUAAGGGGAGUUAAGCCGAAGGAGAUCUUGGGCCGGGCGCGAUCAGAUAUAGAAGAGGACUCUUGGGCCCGGUCUGGCCAGAUCUCGAGAUACCGGAAUUUAAUAACCUGACGUAGCAGGGCAAAAGGGGGAGGUGGUACGGGGGGAGGGGGGGGGGGGGGGCAAUAAUAUCGGAUAGAUAUUGAUCUUUAAUUAGGCACACGGCGAGGGAAUGCGAGAUUAGAUCACCACCCUGGUAGUAGUCAGUCUCGAGUCCGCGUGCAACUGACGCGAACAUGAACUAGAAAUCUAACUUUUAGAUUUCUCUUUAUCGAUCGUCAUCCACGUAUACUCGCUCUCAUUCUUUUCGGAUGAAUCGUUUUUACUCCUUCCAAUUCACACGUAAAUCCUGGACCCGGUAGAAAUAUGUUUAAUGAAGAAAUUAAAGGAAUCGGUUGUAAAAUCGUAGUCAAUUUGGUCCUCUCGCUGGGAGCUCUCGUCUUCGUCCGGCUCGACGAUGAAGAAGGAGAAAGAGAAGACGACGACGACGCCCUACUCGAUAUCUCUUAAUGACCGCCUCGUCUCAGACUUAAUCGACAACACGUAUAAACCAUCUUGCUUCUGCAUAUUCAACGCGUCCUCGUUCGCGCGUGGAGCAGCAGCAGCAGCAGCGGUUAAGAUGGAGUUUUUAAGAGACACACACACAUAAAAUGGCAAUCAGAGAACACUCAGUUAGGAAAGGGGAUAUCAGAAGCUCAACUUAGUUUUACUCUGAAAGGCGAGGCGAAUGAGAAGAAAAAAACAUUCAAUCAAUAAAUAAAUUCAAAAAAAUGAAGAAGAAAAAAUAAUUCUCCGUAAACCAUUUAUGCGCUAUUUCAGUCUGAAGAAAAAAAAAAUGAAAAAACUUGGUUUUAU
This is a long non-coding RNA of Athalia rosae (coleseed sawfly), 1017 nucleotides long. RefSeq lists it as uncharacterized. The record is from RefSeq and is a predicted model, not a curated record. The transcript is spliced from 2 exons. NCBI's taxonomy places the organism in Eukaryota, Metazoa, Arthropoda, Insecta, Hymenoptera, Athaliidae.